RNAcentral lists this ribosomal RNA (253 nucleotides) under uncultured bacterium. RNAcentral's name for it is "partial 16S ribosomal RNA". It matches the Rfam family "Bacterial small subunit ribosomal RNA", at positions 524 to 776 of the family's 1533-position model. The record is from RNAcentral.
UACGUAGGGGGCUAGCGUUGUCCGGAUUUAUUGGGCGUAAAGAGCGUGUAGGCGGCCAGGUAGGUCUGCUGUGAAAACUCGAGGCUCAACCUCGAGACGCCGGUGGAAACCAUCUAGCUAGAGUCCGGAAGAGGAGAGUGGAAUUCCUGGUGUAGCGGUGAAAUGCGCAGAUAUCAGGAAGAACACCCGUGGCGAAGGCGGUUCCCUGGGACGGUACUGACGCUGAGACGCGAAAGCGUGGGGAGCGAACAGG